AGGUAAGCUACUAAGAGCGAAUGGUGGAUGCCUUGACUGGUAAAGGCGAUGAAGGACGUACUAGACUGCGAUAAGCUACGGGGAGCUGUCAAGAAGCUUUGAUCCGUAGAUUUCCGAAUGGGGCAACCCAAUGUAUAGAGAUAUACAUUACCUAUAUAGGAGCGAACGAGGGGAAUUGAAACAUCUUAGUACCCUCAGGAAAAGAAAUCAAUAGAGAUUGCGUCAGUAGCGGCGAGCGAAAGCGCAAGAGGGCAAACCCAGUGCUUGCACUGGGGGUUGUAGGACUGCAAUGUGCAAGAGGUGAGUUUAGCAGAACAUUCUGGAAAGUAUAGCCAUAGAGGGUGAUAGUCCCGUAUGCGAAAAACAAACCUUAGCUAGCAGUAUCCUGAGUAGGGCGGGACACGAGAAAUCCUGUCUGAAGCUGGGUCGACCACGAUCCAACCCUAAAUACUAAUACCAGAUCGAUAGUGCACAAGUACCGUGAGGGAAAGGUGAAAAGAACUGAGGUGAUCAGAGUGAAAUAGAACCUGAAACCAUUUGCUUACAAUCAUUCAGAGCCCUAUGUAGCAAUACAGGGUGAUGGACUGCCUUUUGCAUAAUGAGCCUGCGAGUUGUGGUGUCUGGCAAGGUUAAGCAAACGCGAAGCCGUAGCGAAAGCGAGUCUGAAUAGGGCGCUUAGUCAGAUGCUGCAGACCCGAAACGAAGUGAUCUAUCCAUGAGCAAGUUGAAGCUAGUGUAAGAACUAGUGGAGGACUGAACCCAUAGGCGUUGAAAAGCCCCGGGAUGACUUGUGGAUAGGGGUGAAAGGCCAAUCAAACUUCGUGAUAGCUGGUUCUCUCCGAAAUAUAUUUAGGUAUAGCGUUGUGUCGUAAUAUAAGGGGGUAGAGCACUGAAUGGGCUAGGGCAUACACCAAUGUACCAAACCCUAUCAAACUCCGAAUACCUUAUAUGUAAUCACAGCAGUCAGGCGGCGAGUGAUAAAAUCCGUCGUCAAGAGGGAAACAACCCAGACUACCAGCUAAGGUCCCUAAAUCUUACUUAAGUGGAAAACGAUGUGAAGUUACUUAAACAACCAGGAGGUUGGCUUAGAAGCAGCCAUCCUUUAAAGAAAGCGUAAUAGCUCACUGGUCUAGUGAUUUUGCGCGGAAAAUAUAACGGGGCUAAAGUAAGUACCGAAGCUGUAGACUUGCGCACAACUU
Molecule: ribosomal RNA, 1199 nt
Filed under: Campylobacter coli
Lineage: Bacteria; Pseudomonadati; Campylobacterota; Epsilonproteobacteria; Campylobacterales; Campylobacteraceae
Description: partial 23S ribosomal RNA
Rfam family: Bacterial large subunit ribosomal RNA
Source: RNAcentral